UACGGGAGGCAGCAGUGGGGAAUAUUGCACAAUGGGCGCAAGCCUGAUGCAGCCAUGCCGCGUGUGUGAAGAAGGCCUUCGGGUUGUAAAGCACUUUCAGUUGUGAGGAAGGUGGUGUCGUUAAUAGCGGCAUCAUUUGACGUUAGCAACAGAAGAAGCACCGGCUAACUCCGUGCCAGCAGCCGCGGUAAUACGGAGGGUGCGAGCGUUAAUCGGAAUUACUGGGCGUAAAGCGCAUGCAGGUGGUUUGUUAAGUCAGAUGUGAAAGCCCGGGGCUCAACCUCGGAACUGCAUUUGAAACUGGCAGACUAGAGUACUGUAGAGGGGGUAGAAUUUCAGGUGUAGCGGUGAAAUGCGUAGAGAUCUGAAGGAAUACCGGUGGCGAAGGCGGCCCCCUGGACAGAUACUGACACUCAGAUGCGAAAGCGUGGGGAGCAAACAGGAUUAGAUACCCUGGUAG
This 460-nucleotide ribosomal RNA is filed under the name uncultured bacterium. RNAcentral describes it as "bacterial SSU rRNA". It matches the Rfam family "Bacterial small subunit ribosomal RNA", at positions 340 to 793 of the family's 1533-position model. The record is from RNAcentral.